This 243-nucleotide long non-coding RNA is filed under the name Helianthus annuus (common sunflower). RNAcentral describes it as "sRNA HanXRQr2_Chr13g0568821". Lineage: Eukaryota; Viridiplantae; Streptophyta; Magnoliopsida; Asterales; Asteraceae. The record is from RNAcentral.
GUAGCAUGAUGAUUGAGUCUAAAUGGAGGAUGUGUAUACCACACAGGCAACCCACCUAAAGAGGGCUUUUCUUUAACAGUGUACGCUCCUUUUCACAUAUACAUGCAGCUAAUAAGGCUGCACUGUGUUUAGCAGCAUCGUAUGCUGCCUCUGCUGAUGCUGAAUCUUUUGGUGUCGCCAGUAAAUCGUCUUUGUAUUGAUCUAUGAAAUGGGUUUCAAGUUCACUAUUUGCAAAUGCUCUGU